RNAcentral lists this ribosomal RNA (460 nucleotides) under uncultured bacterium. RNAcentral's name for it is "partial 16S ribosomal RNA". It matches the Rfam family "Bacterial small subunit ribosomal RNA", at positions 338 to 795 of the family's 1533-position model. The record is from RNAcentral.
CCUACGGGGGGCAGCAGUGAGGAAUAUUGGUCAAUGGGCGCGAGCCUGAUCCAGCCAAGCAGCGUGAAGGAUGACUGCCCUACGGGUUGUAAACUUCUUUUAUAAAGGAAUAAAGUGAGGCACGUGUGCCUUUUUGUAUGUACUUUAUGAAUAAGGAUCGGCUAACUCCGUGCCAGCAGCCGCGGUAAUACGGAGGAUCCGAGCGUUAUCCGGAUUUAUUGGGUUUAAAGGGAGCGUAGAUGGGUUGUUAAGUCAGUUGUGAAAGUUUGCGGCUCAACCGUAAAAUUGCAAUUGAUACUGGCAGUCUUGAGUACAGGUGAGGUAGGCGGAAUUCGUGGUGUAGCGGUGAAAUGCUUAGAUAUCACGAAGAACUCCGAUGGCGAAGGCAGCUUACUAAACUGCCACUGACAUUGAGGCUCGAAGGUGUGGGUAUCAAACAGGAUUAGAUACCCUAGUAGUC